Molecule: ribosomal RNA, 454 nt
Filed under: uncultured bacterium
Lineage: Bacteria
Description: bacterial SSU rRNA
Rfam family: Bacterial small subunit ribosomal RNA
Source: RNAcentral
UACGGAAGGCAGCAGUGGGGAAUAUUGCACAAUGGGCGCAAGCCUGAUGCAGCCAUGCCGCGUGUAUGAAGAAGGCCUUCGGGUUGUAAAGUACUUUCAGCGGGGAGGAAGGCGAUGCGGUUAAUAACCGCGUCGAUUGACGUUACCCGCAGAAGAAGCACCGGCUAACUCCGUGCCAGCAGCCGCGGUAAUACGGAGGGUGCAAGCGUUAAUCGGAAUUACUGGGCGUAAAGCGCACGCAGGCGGUCUGUUAAGUCAGAUGUGAAAUCCCCGGGCUUAACCUGGGAACUGCAUUUUGAAACUGGCAGGCUUGAGUCUUGUAGAGGGGGUAGAAUUCCAGGUGUAGCGGUGAAAUGCGUAGAGAUCUGGAGGAAUACCGGUGGCGAAGGCGGCCCCUGGGACAAAGCUGACGCUCAGGUGCGAAAGCGUGGGGAGCAAACAGGGAUUAGAUACC